This is a long non-coding RNA of Cyprinus carpio (common carp), 413 nucleotides long. RefSeq lists it as uncharacterized. The transcript has 3 exons. Lineage: Eukaryota; Metazoa; Chordata; Actinopteri; Cypriniformes; Cyprinidae. The record is from RefSeq and is a predicted model, not a curated record.
UAUCACAGAUGCAAUACAGUGAGCUGUGAUAGUCUUGUGAAAUCUUGUUUAGAAUACGAGAUGCUGCUUCAUGCAGAAACAAACCUGCUGGAUUCAUUACAGCUUCAUAUGGAACAUCUACAGGUCUGAAGCCUGAUGCACCACUGACCUCACAUCAGCUUUCCGCAUUGAAUUCCUGUCAGACAAGGCCCAGUUCGACACUGGAUUUGCACAUUGUUUGAUACUGAAAGAUGGAGCGGUCCCAGCGAUAAAAGAUCCCAGUCAUGAUUCAGAAGCGCAGACGAAGCGGCCCAACGUCGGUGAACUGGACGAAGAGCUGGCGUCUCUCCGACAUCUCCACCAUCAAUCAGAUGAUGGUGAACGUGCUGUAAAUAGCAAGUGCUCUGCUGUUCCCUCCUGAAGAAUGGAGGGUG